CACGUACUCCCUUCGUUCCGAAUUACUCAUCGUAGAAAUGAAUGUAUCUAGAUGUAUUUUAGUUCUAGAUACAUCCAUUUCUGUGACGAGUAAUUUGGAACGGAAGAAGUAGCUG
Molecule: non-coding RNA, 115 nt
Organism: Triticum aestivum (bread wheat)
Lineage: Eukaryota; Viridiplantae; Streptophyta; Magnoliopsida; Poales; Poaceae
Source: Rfam